AUAUAUGUAAUGCUUUGGUUGAUAUGAAAUAAAUUGAUGUAAAAGUUUUUAAUCUUGACAUGUUGAUUUCGGCACUUGGAAGUUCAUGACUUUUGUCCACUAAUUAUUAUUCAAGUGUUGCUGUAAAGUUUGUUGCAAUUGAAGCAUGUAGACUUAUAGAGCUAGCAGUGCUAAAAGUGAGAUGAAGAGGCACUUCAAUUUGUUGCCUAUUGACCGACAAUCUAUAGGGAAAGCUGUUGCUAUAAGAACAGGUGCAAAUGGAGAGAGUAAAAAUAUUGUGCUGAAAUAUAUAUAUAUGAGAUACGUGAAGUUGAAUAAAGGGAUUCAACAAGUAUGCAAUGUGCUAUAUUUUGUGAUGAUAUGUAUAUGUAUGAGUAAUUUUGUGAUUCAAGAAAUUUAUGAAAA
RNAcentral lists this long non-coding RNA (405 nucleotides) under Trifolium pratense (red clover). RNAcentral describes it as "long non-coding RNA (TPRA_LNC003346)". Lineage: Eukaryota; Viridiplantae; Streptophyta; Magnoliopsida; Fabales; Fabaceae. The record is from RNAcentral.